Non-coding RNA from Hydra vulgaris (swiftwater hydra), 849 nucleotides. The record is from RefSeq and is a predicted model, not a curated record. NCBI's taxonomy places the organism in Eukaryota, Metazoa, Cnidaria, Hydrozoa, Anthoathecata, Hydridae.
UUCUAUGUUUGUUUAAAGAAAAAAUUAUAAAUAGGUUGACACUAUUUUUCAUAAUUUUACUUAUUUCAAAUUAAAAAUUGAAAAAAUUAAAUUUACCAGCUUCAUCGACGUCAUCACUGCCAUCUGACGCUCAAAAUGCAAACUAAGACAUUUUCGAUAUCAAAUGCAAUAGAUGAAAUCUUAAAGAUGAGUGAAUGUUUACAAUACUAAAUUUUAAAUCCUAACUUAAACAAUAAACACAACCAUUCAUUGACAAACUAUUGGUUGAUGCAAGCUUUCGGACUUUCGAAUAACGUGGCGUCUAAAUGUCCGCAAAAGUCGUAAAUCUUUUAUUUAUGGCAUACCUAAUUUAAUACGAUAUCAAAUGCAAUAGAUGAAAUCUUGAAGAAGAGUGAAUGUUUACAAUACUCAAUUUUAAAUCCUAACUUAAACAAUAAACACACCCAUUCAUUGACAAACUAUUGGUUGAUGCAAGCUUUCAGACUGUCAAGUAAGGUGGCGUCUAAAUGUCCGCAAAAGUUGUAAAUCUUUUAUUUAUGGCAUACCUAAUUUAAUACGUGAAGGACAAGUACAGAAAACUCGAAACCGGAGAAGAAAUAUUUAUAUUUGGAAAAGGAAUUACACAGAAAAAAAGAGAAUCUGGACAAUACGAUAUGAAUUCAAGAAGGAUAAAAGUUGAAGAAAGUAAAUCUGUUGGAAAUAAUUGCUUAAAGUGCAUUUUUUCUUGUGAAUCAAAAAUUAACUCGGAAAAAAUGAAACUUAUAUUCAAACAUUUUUGACAAUAGCAAAAAUGUUUUUUAUACUAAAUUUAUAUAAAGAAAUGAAAAAGUAAGAUUUAGAACUGUUUCA